UACGAAGGGGGCUAGCGUUGUUCGGAAUUACUGGGCGUAAAGGGCGCGUAGGCGGUGAUCUUUGUCAGAGGUGAAAGCCCGGGGCUCAACUCCGGAAUUGGCCUUUGAAACGGGAUUGCUUGAGUCCGAGAGAGGAUGGCGGAAUUCCUAGUGUAGAGGUGAAAUUCGUAGAUAUUAGGAAGAACACCGGUGGCGAAGGCGGCCAUCUGGCUCGGUACUGACGCUGAUGCGCGAAAGCG
Molecule: ribosomal RNA, 239 nt
Filed under: uncultured bacterium
Lineage: Bacteria
Description: partial 16S ribosomal RNA
Rfam family: Bacterial small subunit ribosomal RNA
Source: RNAcentral